Molecule: long non-coding RNA, 1526 nt
Organism: Peromyscus maniculatus bairdii (prairie deer mouse)
Lineage: Eukaryota; Metazoa; Chordata; Mammalia; Rodentia; Cricetidae
Source: RefSeq, a predicted model, not a curated record
UGCCAAGGUAUGCCCCUAAGAGAACACGCCAUGUGCAACAGAGUUAGUGCAAGGGGUCUGUUGGGGGAUGGGGAGAGUGAGAGAGUGAAAGGCUGUCUUGGAGUAGGGACACGAGAGAGGCAGACAGACAGACAGACAGACCCAGACAGAGGGAACAGGCAAAAGAGGAAGAAGAGAAGCAAGAGAGAGGACUGGCAGUUUUAAGGGGUGCGCUUGUCACAUGGCUGACGGUGGAAAGGCACCUGGCACCAGGUGAUGACGUGGCUGCCUCGGUGGGAACUAGCACAGGCAGUGGGGAGCUGUGGAAGAAUUUUAAAUGGACAAGUGACAGAGCCCAAGUUAAAGAUGCAGGAAUACUCACUUGCUGUUGUGCCCUGGGUGCGAGACCCCCGAAGAGACCACCAGGGACACGAACGCACCGAAAUGCUAAGCAAGGUUUAUUGAAGCAGUUCAAGCCGCUCAGCAGGGCCCUCGUCAAGCCAUCCAACACAGCAGAGGCUGGAGGAGGUGCCCGCCCCUCUGCAAGCUCAGACUACCUCCGGCAUUGGGACAUUGUGUGGUUAAUCAAUUGCUACCAGAUCGUCCUUCAAACAUCCUGACUUUGUACUUUGACCAUCUCCGGCAUUGGGGCAUUCUGUGGUUAAUCAGUUGUUACCAGAUGACUCUUCAAGCAUCCUGACUUUGUCCUGGGACCUAUGUCAGCAGCUCUGAGGAUUUUGAAACUCAGGCCUGUUUCAAGCUGGGGUGAGGGGCUUGCUUGAAAAGGGGGUGCUUUGGUUCUUCAUUUACCUCUUUAUUCACCCCUGACCAAGGCCUAGCUUUCUCUGUAGGCAGCCCAUGCUGGUCCUAAAUUUCUCUGCAACAAGGCCAAGGGCUCUGGAAACACUGAAGUUUGAACUGACACCAAUUACGCUGCAAGGGUGAAAAUUAAUUAAAAGUUUUCAAAGGGCUGUGUUCAGUUUUCUUCCCUCUUUUGUGUUAUCAGCAACGCUGCCUUUUCUCCUGGCUGGGAGUUACUGCAGUACAAGGUUUUCAUGUUGCCUGUAGGGUAAUUAUGUCAACUAUAUGAGCCAUGAUAAGCGGCAGUUUGUAUUAUUCUGUGAUUAAUCUCCAUACAUUCUGGCAUUCCAAUCUGCCCUCAGAAGACAAGGCUGUGAUUCUCUGGUGCAGAGGGAGGACUCCGGGAGAGCUGCAAGGACUGAGGAGCUGAAACACAGAGACAGCCUAAGAAGACUCCGGAGAAGAGGGAAUUUCCAGUUUCAACGCUGCGUCCCUGAGGAGUUCUUACAUAACGGACAGUUUUGUGCAUUUGACCCAGGUCACCGGGAGGGAGCCCGACCCUUGGUGAGACCCAGACUGAAGAUGAGCUUUUUCCAAGAUGGUGUCAGAGGAGCAGACACGGGAUUUAUCUCGGGUGAUAUAGUGUUCUACAGCACAGGAGGGUGACUACAGGAUUCAUCAAAAUGAUUAUAUAAAUAACUGAAAGACACGAGUUUGAAAUUUACAGUAAAUAAAGAGGAAUAAAA